CCCGCUGAACUUAAGCAUAUCAAUAAGCGGAGGAAAAGAAACCAACAGGGAUUGCCUCAGUAACGGCGAGUGAAGCGGCAACAGCUCAAAUUUGAAAUCUGGCUCCUUCGGAGUCCGAGUUGUAAUUUGUAGAAGAUGCUUCGAGUGUGGCUCUGGUUUAAGUUCCUUGGAACAGGACGUCAUAGAGGGUGAGAAUCCCGUAUGUGACCGGACGCCUACGCUCAUGUGAAGCUCUUUCGACGAGUCGAGUUGUUUGGGAAUGCAGCUCUAAAUGGGUGGUAAAUUUCAUCUAAAGCUAAAUAUUGGCCAGAGACCGAUAGCGCACAAGUAGAGUGAUCGAAAGAUGAAAAGCACUUUGGAAAGAGAGUUAAACAGUACGUGAAAUUGUUGAAAGGGAAGCGCUUGCAACCAGACUUGCGCGUCGUCGAUCAUCUGGUGUUCUCACCGGUGCGCUCGGCGACGUUCAGGCCAGCAUCAGUUUUGGUGGUUGGAUAAAGGCCCUGGGAAUGUGGCUCUCUUCGGGGAGUGUUAUAGCCCAAGGUGCAAUGCAGCCUACCGAGACUGAGGACCGCGCUUCGGCUAGGAUGCUGGCGUAAUGGUUGUAAGCGACCCGUCUUGAAACACGG
RNAcentral lists this ribosomal RNA (626 nucleotides) under uncultured fungus. RNAcentral's name for it is "eukaryotic LSU rRNA". It matches the Rfam family "Eukaryotic large subunit ribosomal RNA", at positions 24 to 664 of the family's 3401-position model. Lineage: Eukaryota; Fungi. The record is from RNAcentral.